CUACGGGUGGCACCAGUGGGGAAUAUUGCACAAUGGGGGAAACCCUGAUGCAGCCAUGCCGCGUGUGUGAAGAAGGCUUUCGGGUUGUAAAGCACUUUCAGCGAGGAGGAAAGGGUGCAAGUUAAUACCUUGUAUCUGUGACGUUACUCGCAGAAGAAGCACCGGCUAACUCCGUGCCAGCAGCCGCGGUAAUACGGAGGGUGCGAGCGUUAAUCGGAAUUACUGGGCGUAAAGCGCGCGUAGGCGGUUAAUUAAGUCAGAUGUGAAAGCCCAGGGCUCAACCUUGGAACUGCAUUUGAAACUGGUUAACUAGAGUUUUGUAGAGGGUGGUAGAAUUUCAGGUGUAGCGGUGAAAUGCGUAGAGAUCUGAAGGAAUACCAGUGGCGAAGGCGGCCACCUGGACAAAGACUGACGCUGAGGCGCGAAGGCGUGGGGAGCAAACGGGAUUAGAUACCCGAGUAGUC
Molecule: ribosomal RNA, 464 nt
Filed under: uncultured bacterium
Lineage: Bacteria
Description: partial 16S ribosomal RNA
Rfam family: Bacterial small subunit ribosomal RNA
Source: RNAcentral